AGUUUGAUCAUGGCUCAGAUUGAACGCUGGCGGAAUGCUUUACACAUGCAAGUCGAACGGCAGCGACGGGGCAACCUGGUGGCGAGUGGCGAACGGGUGAGUAAUACAUCGGAACGUGCCCAAUCGUGGGGAUAACGUAGCGAAAGUUACGCUAAUACCGCAUACGAUCUACGGAUGAAAGCGGGGGAUCGCAAGACCUCGCGCGAAUGGAGCGGCCGAUGUCAGAUUAGGUAGUUGGUGGGGUAAAGGCUCACCAAGCCGACGAUCUGUAGCUGGUCUGAGAGGACGACCAGCCACACUGGGACUGAGACACGGCCCAGACUCCUACGGGAGGCGGCAGUGGGGAAUUUUGGACAAUGGGCGCAAGCCUGAUCCAGCCAUUCCGCGUGCAGGAUGAAGGCCUUCGGGUUGUAAACUGCUUUUGUACGGAACGAAACGGUUCUCUCUAAUACAGGGGGCUAAUGACGGUACCGUAAGAAUAAGCACCGGCUAACUACGUG
RNAcentral lists this ribosomal RNA (500 nucleotides) under uncultured bacterium. Its description in RNAcentral is "bacterial SSU rRNA". It matches the Rfam family "Bacterial small subunit ribosomal RNA", at positions 10 to 507 of the family's 1533-position model. The record is from RNAcentral.